Molecule: ribosomal RNA, 460 nt
Filed under: uncultured bacterium
Lineage: Bacteria
Description: partial 16S ribosomal RNA
Rfam family: Bacterial small subunit ribosomal RNA
Source: RNAcentral
CCUACGGGAGGCAGCAGUGAGGAAUAUUGGUCAAUGGGCGAGAGCCUGAACCAGCCAAGUAGCGUGAAGGAUGAAUGCCCUACGGGUUGUAAACUUCUUUUAUAAAGGAAUAAAGUGAGGCACGUGUGCCGUUGUGUAUGUACGUUAUGAACAAGGAAAGGAUAACUCCGUGCCAGCAGCCGCGGUAAUACUGAGGAUCCGAGCGUUAUCCGGAUUUAUUGGGUUUAAAGGGAGCGUAGGUGGGUUGUUAAGUCAGUUGUGAAAGUUUGCGGCUCAACCUUAGAAUUGCACUUUAUACUGGCAGCCUUGAGUACAUUAGAGGUAGGCGGAAUUCGUGGUGUAGCGGUGAAAUGCUUAGAUAUCACGAAGAACUCCGAUGGCGAAGGCAGCUUACUAACCUGCCACUGACAUUGAUGCUCGAAAGUGUGGGUAUCAAACAGGAUUAGAUACCCCUGUAGUC